CUUUGCUAUCUGUGAUCACUUCAAUCGCUUUUUUUUUUUGCAGAAUUCCGGCAUUCUUCAGAGACUCUUGGUCACACAUCCCUCAGGCUACUCCCUCCUGGAGGCCGAGUGUACCUCAGGUCCCCACCAUGACCUUGAUGACCAAAUUAUCAGGCUCGCAGAGAACACACACCAUCAAUGAAGUGCCCGUCUCGCUUACUGCAGGAUAUGUGAACAGACAGCAUCACAAUCUACUUAACAAUAUCAAGUUUACUGUGGCUGGUAAAAUCAAUGCAUUCCAC
This 281-nucleotide long non-coding RNA is filed under the name Pan troglodytes (chimpanzee). RNAcentral's name for it is "long non-coding RNA NONPTRT001651". The record is from RNAcentral. Lineage: Eukaryota; Metazoa; Chordata; Mammalia; Primates; Hominidae.